This 76-nucleotide small nucleolar RNA is filed under the name Smittium culicis. RNAcentral describes it as "Small nucleolar RNA snR60/Z15/Z230/Z193/J17". It matches the Rfam family "Small nucleolar RNA snR60/Z15/Z230/Z193/J17". Rfam says of the family: The members of this family belong to the C/D class of snoRNAs which contain the C (UGAUGA) and D (CUGA) box motifs. Most of the members of the box C/D family function in directing site-specific 2'-O-methylation of substrate RNAs. The family includes the yeast snoRNA snR60 (also known as Z15) and the corresponding human guide snoRNA U80 (SNORD80). The record is from Rfam by way of RNAcentral. Lineage: Eukaryota; Fungi; Kickxellomycota; Harpellomycetes; Harpellales; Legeriomycetaceae.
UUAGCACUAUGAUGAUUACAUAGUUCAACUUAUUAAUUAUGAAGAUCAUUUAUCUUUCGCUCCUAUCUGAUACCUG